AGAGUUUGAUCAUGGCUCAGGAUGAACGCUGGCGGAGUGCCUAAUACAUGCAAGUCGAGCGGCAGCGCGAGUAGUUUACUACUUGGCGGCGAGCGGCGGACGGCUGAGUAACGCGUGGGAACGUGCCCCAAAGUGAGGAAUAACUGCCCGAAAGGGUAGCUAAUGCCGCAUAUGAUCUUCGGAUUAAAGGAUUUAUCCGCUUUGGGAGCGGCCCGCGUACGAUUAGAUAGUUGGUGAGGUAAUGGCUCACCAAGUCGACGAUCGUUAACUGGUUUGAGAGGAUGAUCAGUCAGACUGGAACUGAGACACGGUCCAGACUCCUACGGGAGGCAGCAGUAAGGAAUCUUCCACAAUGGACGAAAGUCUGAUGGAGCAACUCCGCGUGCAGGAUGAAGGCCUUCGGGUCGUAAACUGCUUUUAUGAGUGAAGAAUAUGACGGUAACUCAUGAAUAAGGGUCGGCUAACUACGUGCUAGCCGCCGCGGUAAUUC
RNAcentral lists this ribosomal RNA (490 nucleotides) under uncultured bacterium. Its description in RNAcentral is "bacterial SSU rRNA". It matches the Rfam family "Bacterial small subunit ribosomal RNA", at positions 8 to 526 of the family's 1533-position model. The record is from RNAcentral.